RNAcentral lists this ribosomal RNA (499 nucleotides) under uncultured bacterium. RNAcentral describes it as "partial 16S ribosomal RNA". It matches the Rfam family "Bacterial small subunit ribosomal RNA", at positions 29 to 507 of the family's 1533-position model. The record is from RNAcentral.
ACGAACGCUGGCGGCGUGCUUAACACAUGCCAGUCGAACGGGUCUGCCCUGUUUUUUGCGGGGUGGGUCAGUGGCGAACGGGUGAGUAACACGUGAGUAACCUGCCCCUCACUUCUGGAUAACCGCUUGAAAGGGUGGCUAAUACGGGGUGUUCUGGCUGUGCCGCAUGGUGUGGCUGGGAAAGAUUCACUUUUGUGGUGUUUUGGUGGGGGAUGGGCUCGCGGCCUAUCAGCUUGUUGGUGGGGUGAUGGCCUGCCAAGGCUUUGACGGGUAGCCGGCCUGGGAGGGUGGGCGGUCACACUGGGACGGAGAUACGGCCCAGACUCCGGCGGGAGGCAGCAGUGGAGGGUAUGGCACAAUGGGCGGAAGCCUGAUGCAGCGACGUCGCGUGAGGGAUGGAGGCCUUCGGGUUGUGAACCUCUUUCGCCGGUGAAGAAGGUCCUGCUCUUUGUGGGGGGGUUGACGGUAGCCGGGUUAUGAAGCGCCGGCUAACUACGUG